GAGCUGUACCUCCUAGUAAGCUGCCCUGGAGGUUCCUGAAGGAAGAGAAAAAUAGAAGAAAAUGUCACAAUGAGAGACUCUCUUUACACAAAAGAAAAGUAUAAAACAAACUGGACCAGCAUAGCAUGUAACAGGACACAGCUCUAAGAACAAGCUUCAGGCUAGGCACUGAGCUCUUGCUGCACUGAAAUUCCUGGAAGCAUCCUGAACCACCUACUGGUAUCUGUGAGGAUUGUGCUGAAAAUAUUUAACUAAAAUUUAGUGUCUUUGGACAACUGAAAAUCAACCUGCCUCAAAUUUGGAGCUUGAAAUGAGUGUGUGCCAAUGUAACUGACCAUAAUAUGAACUCCACAAACACUCAUUUUGAUCUAACAAAAGCUGAAAAGUAAAUUCUCCAAGAACAGCAUGGGCCACAGUUUCCCACAGUGCCUUCUCCACUAAUGACAGACACCAAUGUGAGCACGUUUCUUUCCCCCG
This 477-nucleotide long non-coding RNA is filed under the name Heterocephalus glaber (naked mole-rat). RNAcentral describes it as "lncRNA (ENSHGLG00100034727.1)". Lineage: Eukaryota; Metazoa; Chordata; Mammalia; Rodentia; Bathyergidae. The record is from RNAcentral.